GAGACCCCAGGUCAGGCGGGAUUACCCGCUUAGUUUAAGAAUAUCAAUAAGCAAAGGAAAAAAAACUUACAAGGAUUCCCUUAGUAACGACGAGCGAACCGGGAAAUGCCAGCUUGAGAAUCAGGUGCCUACGGCGUCCGAAUUGUAGUCUGGAGAAGCGUCCUCAGAGGCGGACCAAGCUCAAGUCUCCUGGAAGGGGGUGCCGGAGAGAGUUAGAGCCCCGUCGCUCUUGGACCCUGUCGCACCAUGAGGCGCUGUCUACGAGUCGGGUUGUUUGGGAAUGCAGCCCAAAUCGGGCGGUAAAUUCUGUCCAAGGCUAAAUAUUCGCGAGGGACCGAUAGCAAACAAGUACCACGAGGGAAAGAUGAAAAGGACUUUGAGAAAAGAGUCAAAGAGUACUUGAAAUUGUUGGGAGGGAAGCAGAUAGAGGGCGGUGGUGCGUCCUGGUCGGAUGUGGAAUGGUGCUGAGCCGGUUUGCCAAUCGACUCGAGGCGUGGACCGACACAGAAUGGGGCGGCGUCGCAAGCCCGAGCCUUUGUUGGCAGCGCGCGCCCUUGGCGUGCUCAGGCAUCAGUGCGCUCCAGGCGUCGGCCUGCGGGCACCCCAUUCGGCCCUUCUUAAAACACGGACCAAGGAGUCAAUGGGCGAGAAAACCCGUGAGGCACAAGGAAGCUGAGUGGUGGGAUCCCGUGAAGGUUGCACCACCCACCGUCCUUGAUAUUUUGAGAAGGGUUCGAGUGUGAACAUGCCUGUCGGGACCCGAAAGAUGGUGAACUAUGCCAGAGCAGGGCGAAGCUAGAGGAAACUCUGGUGGAGGCCCGCAGCGAUACUGAUGUGCAAAUCGUUCAUCUGACUUGGGUAUAGGGGCAAAAGACUAAUCAAACCGUCUAGUAGCUGCUUCCCUCCGAAGUUUCCCUUAGGAUAGCUGGAGCCCAUGGGCAAGUUCUCUCGGGUAAAGCCGAUGAUUAGAGGCAUCGGGGGCACAACGCCCUCGACCUAUUCUAAAACUUUAAAUAGGUAGGACAGCGCAACUGCUUUGUUGAGCCGCGCCACGGAAUCGAGAGCUCCAAGUGGGCCAUUUUUGGUAAGCAGAACUAGCGAUGCGGGUCAAACCAAAAGACCGGUUACGGUGCCCAACUGCACACUAACCUAGAACCCACAAAGGGUGUUGGUCGAUUAAGACAACAUAACGUUGGUCAUGGAAGUCGAAAUAACUCCCCUACCAAAUCAACUAGCCCCAACAAUGGAUGGCGCUGAAGCGCGCAACCUAUACCCGGCCGUCGGGGCAAGUAUCAGGCUCUGAUAAGUAGGAGGGAGUGGCAGUUGCCGCAAAACCUGGGGCGCAAGCCCGGGCGGAGCGUCCGUUGGUGCAAAUCUUGGUGGUAGUAGCAAAUAUUCAAAUGAGACUAUGAAGGCCGAAGGGGGAAAGGUUCCAUGUAAACAGCACUUGCACAUGGGUUAGUCGAUCCUAAGAGAAAGGGCAAUCCCGUCUGACAGCGCCCAGCACGGGAGCAUCGAAAGGGAAUCGGGUUAAAAUUCCUGAACCGGGACAUGGCGGCUGAUGUCAACGUUAGGGAGUCCGGAGACAUCGUCGGGGACCUUGGGAAGAGUUAUCUUUUCUGUUUAGCAGCCUGCCCAUCUUGGAAACGACUGAGCCAGAGGUAGGGUUCUGUGACUGGAAGAGCACCACACGUCGCGCGGUGUUCGGUACGUCCUCGACGGCCCUUCAAAAUUUGGAGGACCCAGUGCCUCCCACGCCUGGUCGUACUCAUAACCACAUCAGGUCUCCAAGGUGAACAACCUUUGGUCGGAUGAACAAUGUAGGCAAGGGAAGUCGGCAAAAUGGAUCUGUAACCUCGGGAAAAGGAUUGGCUCUGAGGGCUGGGCAUGGCGGUCCCUGUCUCAAAUCCGUCGGUUGUCAAUGGACUGCUCGAGCUGCUCUCUCGGCGAGAGCUGGUCGUCGCGUGCCGGCCGGGGGACGGACUGGGAACAGCUCCUUCAAGGGGCUUCCCCGGGCAUCAAAAAAUUGACUCAGAACUGGUACAGACAAGGGGAAUCCGACUGUUUAAUUAAAACAAAGCAUUGCGAUGGUCCUUGCGGAUGCUGACGCAAUGUGAUUUCUGCCCAGUGCAAUGAAUGUCAAAGUGAAGAAAUUCAACUAAGCGCGGGUAAACGGCGUGAGUAACUAUGACUCUCUUAAGGUAGCCAAAUGACUCGUCAUCUAGUUAGUGACGCGCAUUAAUGGAUUAACGAGAUUCCCACUAACCCUGUCUAGUAUCCAUCAAAACCACAGACAAGGGAACGGGCUUGGCAGAAUCAGCGGGGAAAGAAGACCNCCUAAGAAACUUAAUUGGCCUUUUGUUUUGAGUCUCGAAUGAGCUGCUAGCCAGAGAGUGAAAGAGUGCUUAGGAAUAAGACAUUUGGACCAAACAAGAGGAGCCCACUGUCUUGGAGGGCCCGAAGGUCUUAUGGAGUGGUAAAGAUGAGAUAGACCAUGACAAUUUGAUUUUUCCUUCAAAGCAUCAAUUAAGGCCUUCACUUUCUAAGUGGGAGCCAGAAACGGAAAAAUUGAAAUAACACUACUUUUAACGUUAUUUUACUUAUUCCGUGAAUCGGAAGCGGGGCAAUGCCCCUCUUUUUGGACCCAAGGCCCACCUCAAUGGGUCGAUCCGCGCAGAAGACAUUGAGUUUGGCAGGGGUAGCACAUCUGUUAAAAGAUAACACAGAUGUCCUAAGAUGAGCUCAACGAGAACAGAAAUCUCGUGUAGAACAAAAGGGUAAAAGCUCGUUUGAUUCUGAUUUCCAGUACGAAUACAAACCAUGAAAGCGUGGCCAAUCGAUCCUUUAGACCUUUGGAAUUUGAAGCUAGAGGUGUCAAAAAAGUUACCACAGGGAUUACUAGCUUGUGGCAGCCAAGCGUUCAUAGCGAAGUUGCUUUUUGAUCCUUCGAUGUUGGCUCUUCCUAUCAUUGUGAAGCAGAAUUCACCAAGUGUUGGAUUGUUCACCCACCAAUAGGGAACGUGAGCUGGGUUUAGACAGUCGUGAGAUGGGUUAGUUUUACCCUACUGAUGACAGUGUCGCAAUAGUAAUUCAACCUAGUAUGAGAGGAACCAUUGAUUCACACAAUUGGUCAUCGCGCUUGGUUAAAAAGCCAGUGGCACAAAUCUACCGUGCACUGGAUUAUGAAUGAACGCCGCUAAGUCAAAAUCUGGGCUAGAAGCAACGCACGCACUGAUGUGCCUU
RNAcentral lists this ribosomal RNA (3243 nucleotides) under Begonia fuchsioides. Its description in RNAcentral is "eukaryotic LSU rRNA". It matches the Rfam family "Eukaryotic large subunit ribosomal RNA". The record is from RNAcentral. Lineage: Eukaryota; Viridiplantae; Streptophyta; Magnoliopsida; Cucurbitales; Begoniaceae.